UUCGGUCGUGUCGGCACGGCCCCGGACGAGCGCGUCGUACCCGGUCAGGCGAAGACGGCGCAGU
This 64-nucleotide non-coding RNA is filed under the name Actinophytocola sp. RNAcentral also lists the same sequence under 1 other name. Lineage: Bacteria; Bacillati; Actinomycetota; Actinomycetes; Pseudonocardiales; Pseudonocardiaceae. The record is from RNAcentral.